GACGGUGGCUCAGUGGUUAUAGCGCCCGCCUCAUGAACGGGAGGUCGUGGGUUCGAACCCCGGCCGAGUCA
Molecule: non-coding RNA, 71 nt
Organism: Strongylocentrotus purpuratus (purple sea urchin)
Lineage: Eukaryota; Metazoa; Echinodermata; Echinoidea; Camarodonta; Strongylocentrotidae
Source: Rfam